CAGGCUAAAGCUUUAUUAAAGUUCCUUGUUUACAUUAAGGAGAUUGUUGUUUGAAACAUGGCUUGA
Molecule: transfer RNA, 66 nt
Filed under: Trigonopterus sp. 4 AH-2016
Lineage: Eukaryota; Metazoa; Arthropoda; Insecta; Coleoptera; Curculionidae
Description: tRNA-Val
Source: RNAcentral